Molecule: ribosomal RNA, 495 nt
Filed under: uncultured bacterium
Lineage: Bacteria
Description: partial 16S ribosomal RNA
Rfam family: Bacterial small subunit ribosomal RNA
Source: RNAcentral
GAUGAACGCUGGCGGCGUGCCUAAUACAUGCAAGUCGAGCGAACGGACGAGAAGCUUGCUUCUCUGAUGUUAGCGGCGGACGGGUGAGUAACACGUGGAUAACCUACCUAUAAGACUGGGAUAACUUCGGGAAACCGGAUCUAAUACCGGAUGAUAUUUUGAACCGCAUGGUUCAAAAGUGAAAGACGGUCUUGCUGUCACUUAUAGAUGGAUCCGCGCUGCAUUAGCUAGUUGGUAAGGUAACGGCUUACCAAGGCAACGAUGCAUAGCCGACCUGAGAGGGUGAUCGGCCACACUGGAACUGAGACACGGUCCAGACUCCUACGGGAGGCAGCAGUAGGGAAUCUUCCGCAAUGGGCGAAAGCCUGACGGAGCAACGCCGCGUGAGUGAUGAAGGUCUUCGGAUCGUAAAACUCUGUUAUUAGGGAAGAACAUAUGUGUAAGUAACUGUGCACAUCUUGACGGUACCUAAUCAGAAGGCCACGGCUAACUACG